CCUACUACACACUCACCCUCUUCUAUAUAUAGGAAUCAUGAAUCAUUGUAAUAGAAAUCAAUACAUCAAUCAAUAAUAUCAAUCAUCAAUACAUAUUUCAUUCUCUCUAUUUUUCCAUACAUCAAAUUUAACAUAGAUAGCCCUGUGAAUGUUGACUUUCUAAUUGUUGUGGGGUUGCAGUCAUCCUAAAUACUUGUGAUCAGUGGUGGAGCCAUGUUAGACCAGGAGGGGAUGUGCCAUUUUUGAAAAUCACAGUUUUAACUCUAGUUAAAAAAUGUUUUCAAUUUGUUCCAUUGAAGUUCCACCGCCUCUCUUCUUUACUUCUUUUCAACAAAAUCCUUGCAAUUUGUCACUUUAAAUGUUUAAUUUUGCUAAAAUCUUCUCUUACAAAUAUUAUAUUAUUUCUCUCCUCUCUCUUUUCUUUCUCUACCGCUCUCUUUCUCAUUUUGUGUGUGUGCGUGUGUGUGCAUCUUGAUAUAAUUCCGUUUUCAUCUUUUAUGGCACGUGAUUGCAUUUUAAAUUAUGAUGACGAUCAUGUUAAAAAACUAAAAUAGGAAAUCAAAUUAUUUAAAAAAAAUAAAAUAAAAAUCACCAAAAAUAAAAUUAAUUGGUUAACUCAAGCAUAGCUCUAAAUAUAACUUUGGUAUCGCGCUGAUUUUUAGUCAUCUUCCCACCAAAAGAAAAUUGAGUUUUGUUGGAUUGUGAUAGAUCUUGCUAAGGCUUCAACUCAAUGUUGCCUCACUGUGUGUGUAAUGCUGAUUGAUUAUUCAUUGUACUGGAAUCUUCAUUUGUUGGUCCAAGUCUUCCUGCACUGCCAAUGCAAAUCACUAUGCUGUUUAUUUUCAAUUUCCUCUUGAUAUUGUCCCCAGUCUGCCUAAGAAAUAUAGUACUAGUUCCUGGAAAUGCACAAUUGUGUUACAGUUCAAAUGGGAAAGAUAAGCCGGAUAGCCAAUUCACUUAUGCUUAUAUACGAGCUGGGCAAUGUCAAGUGCUUGGCUGCCUAAUCAAGGUUAAUAGAAAAGGCAAGUUUUAAGGUAGGGAUUGGGUUCAACACAUUUAUGUUGUUACUGAUCUGGAACAAGCUUCAUGUUGCAAGCUUAAGCUGCUUAUGAGCUGGCUGAUUGAGUUUGAGCUCAAUUUAGAACAUUAAUGAGCUCAAAACUAGGAUUGUGCUUGGUUUGUUUUACAAUUUAUGGGCAAUCUGAAAUAAGCCUCUGAUCAGGCAUAUCUCAAGUAGCUUGAUUUUUCCGAGGGUACUUUUGAAAGACUUUGAGAAGAGACUAUUGAAGCAAUCAGGAAAAUGAUAUGAAUUGCACUUUCAGAUGCCUCUGCAGGAAAAUGUUAAAUUGAAGAAUGUGUUUGGUGUGAUUUCUUGAAUUCCUGAAAUAACAGUAGAAUUCUGAAGAACUUAGUUCUGAUGCCGUAUAAAUCAUAAAGAACCACAACGUACUUAAAAAUCAUAUUCUCAAAUGCUGUAGAGAGACAAGUUCAAUUUAAUCAGAACUUUGAACACCUUAAGUUGCCACAUACCAUUUUUUGAUAGUGUUGAUUGGUGUGAUAAAGAUUGGUAUACAACACUGUGUCAUUGACUAUAGAUUCACAGAUAAAAGAAGCUCGUUGUUUGACUGAAAUAUGAGCGUUAUGACUUAUUUGUUUAUGUUUUUGUAUAAAUUAUUUAUUUCUUUUGUUGCAACUUGCAAGUCCAGACAGAUUUGUUUGUUUUUCUGUGAAAAGAUCCUUAGUGACAAUUGGUGAAGAAUCUCUCUCUCUCUCUCUUGCUGGGAUGACUGGGCUUCUAGAGAGCAACAGAAGAUUGAGAGCAGGCCAACAGACACUCUUUGAGUUUGAUGGGAAUGUGACACACAGUGUACACCCUUCACUUUCAGGCUUCUAAUGAGCAAUAGAAGAUUAGAGCAGGACCCCUGGAGAGCACAAAAAGACACUCUUUGAGUUUGAUGGGAAUGUGACACACAGUGUACACCAUUCACUUUCAGGUCGCUCUUUCCAUCUAAUUAGAACAUCAAGGAGAAAUUAUGUAGGAUUAUCAUAUAUGUGUAUAAUGACCAUGGUGUGAAAUUCUGGCAUGUUUGGUAUUGUUUUAUUUAUGGAAUUAAAGACAUGAAAAAUUCAAAAACAACCAUAAUUUUCAUUUUGCUUUUA
Camellia sinensis is the source of this 2160-nucleotide long non-coding RNA. RefSeq lists it as uncharacterized. NCBI's taxonomy places the organism in Eukaryota, Viridiplantae, Streptophyta, Magnoliopsida, Ericales, Theaceae. The record is from RefSeq and is a predicted model, not a curated record.